CCUACGGGAGGCAGCAGUGGGGAAUCUUGCACAAUGGAGGAAACUCUGAUGCAGCGAUGCCGCGUGAGUGAAGAAGGCCUUUGGGUUGUAAAGCUCUUUUGUAGGGGAAGAUAAUGACUGUACCCUAAGAAUAAGGUCCGGCUAACUUCGUGCCAGCAGCCGCGGUAAUACGAAGGGACCUAGCGUAGUUCGGAAUUACUGGGCGUAAAGCGCGCGUAGGCCGUUGGGUUAGUUAAUUGUGAAAUCCCAAAGCUUAACUUUGGAACUGCAAUUAAAACUGCUCGACUAGAGUUUGAUAGAGGAAAGCGGAAUACAUAGUGUAGAGGUGAAAUUCGUAGAUAUUAUGUAGAACACCAGUUGCGAAGGCGGCUUUCUGGAUCAACACUGACGCUGAGGCGCGAAAGUAUGGGUAGCAAAGAGGAUUAGAUACCCUCGUAGUCCAUACCAUAAACGAUGAUUGCUAGAUGUUGGAAAUUUAUUUUCAGUAUCGCAGCUAACGCAUUAAGCAAUCCGCCUGGGGAGUACGACCGCAAGGUUAAAACUCAAAGGAAUUGACGGCUGAGACGNGCGACGACGACGACGAGGAGAGG
Molecule: ribosomal RNA, 590 nt
Filed under: uncultured bacterium
Lineage: Bacteria
Description: bacterial SSU rRNA
Rfam family: Bacterial small subunit ribosomal RNA
Source: RNAcentral